RNAcentral lists this ribosomal RNA (443 nucleotides) under uncultured bacterium. Its description in RNAcentral is "partial 16S ribosomal RNA". It matches the Rfam family "Bacterial small subunit ribosomal RNA", at positions 338 to 795 of the family's 1533-position model. The record is from RNAcentral.
CCUACGGGAGGCAGCAGUGGGGAAUAUUGGGCAAUGGGCGCAAGCCUGACCCAGCAACGCCGCGUGAAGGAAGAAGGCCCUCGGGUUGUAAACUUCUUUUGUCAGGGACGAAACAAAUGACGGUACCUGACGAAUAAGCCACGGCUAAAUACGUGCCAGCAGCCGCGUUAAUACGUAGGUGGCAAGCGUUAUCCGGAUUUACUGGGUGUAAAGGGCGUGUAGGCGGGGGAGCAAGUCAGAUGGGAAAUUCCAGGGCUCAACCCUGGAACUGCAUUUGAAACUGUUUUUCGUGAGUGAUGGAGAGGCAGGCGGAAUUCCGUGGGUAGCGGUGAAAGGCGUAGAUAUACGGAGGAACACCAGUGGCGAAGGCGGCCUGCUGGACAUUAACUGACGCGGAGGCGCGAAAGCGUGGGGAGCAAACAGGAUUAGAUACCCUAGUAGUC